RNAcentral lists this ribosomal RNA (253 nucleotides) under uncultured bacterium. RNAcentral describes it as "partial 16S ribosomal RNA". It matches the Rfam family "Bacterial small subunit ribosomal RNA", at positions 524 to 776 of the family's 1533-position model. The record is from RNAcentral.
UACGAAGGGGGCUAGCGUUGCUCGGAAUCACUGGGCGUAAAGGGUGCGUAGGCGGGUCUUUAAGGCAGGGGUGAAAUCCUGGAGCUCAACUCCAGAACUGCCUUUGAUACUGAAGAUCUUGAGUUCGGGAGAGGUGAGUGGAACUGCGAGUGUAGAGGUGAAAUUCGUAGAUAUUCACAAGAACACCAGUGGCGAAGGCGGCUCACUGGCCCGAUACUGACGCUGAGGCGCGAAAGCCAGGGGAGCAAACGGG